AUUGAACGCUGGCGGCAGGCCUAACACAUGCAAGUCGAGCGGAUGAAGGGAGCUUGCUCCUGGAUUCAGCGGCGGACGGGUGAGUAAUGCCUAGGAAUCUGCCUGGUAGUGGGGGAUAACGUCCGGAAACGGGCGCUAAUACCGCAUACGUCCUGAGGGUGAAAGUGGGGGAUCUUCGGACCUCACGCUAUCAGAUGAGCCUAGGUCGGAUUAGCUAGUUGGUGGGGUAAAGGCCUACCAAGGCGACGAUCCGUAACUGGUCUGAGAGGAUGAUCAGGCACACUGGAACUGGGACACGGUCCAGACUCCUACGGGAGGCAGCCGUGGGGAAUAUUGGACAAUGGGCGGAAGCCUGAUCCAGCCAUGCCGCGUGUGUGAAGAAGGUCUUCGGAUUGUAAAGCACUUUUAGUUGGGAGGAAGGGCAGUAAGUUAAUACCUUGCUGUUUUGACGUUACCCACAGAAUAAGCCCCGGCUAACUUCCUG
Molecule: ribosomal RNA, 484 nt
Filed under: uncultured bacterium
Lineage: Bacteria
Description: partial 16S ribosomal RNA
Rfam family: Bacterial small subunit ribosomal RNA
Source: RNAcentral